Vigna angularis (adzuki bean) is the source of this 530-nucleotide long non-coding RNA. RefSeq lists it as uncharacterized. Lineage: Eukaryota; Viridiplantae; Streptophyta; Magnoliopsida; Fabales; Fabaceae. The record is from RefSeq and is a predicted model, not a curated record. The transcript has 2 exons.
AGAUUCCUGUAGUCAUAAUGCAGAACUCGGUGACACAAGGAAGAUAUUGUUAGCAGAGAGAAAAAAUGGUGACUAAUUGUGCUUGAGAAUGAAGAACAAGGAAAUUCGAUAAGAAUUGGUGGCCAAAGGACCCUACUAAAAUCAGAUGAAAAUUUUUUGUGGUCUAUCACUUUUCCAUUUUUUCUGAUCAUAAAUAUUUGCAUCUCUAAAGCCCAACAUCAGUGUGCAUUCAGCAGGGUCCACACAUCAGUGUGAUUUCUCAGUGUAGCUGUUGGAUUACCCAAUGUUGAAUUCCAUUGCUAAGAAGAAAAAGGGUUGUGAUAAUGCUCUAAGACUAUGUGUGUAAGAUUGAUAGAUAGGUCUUUCCAUAUCAGUACAUGGAAAAUGAAAUGAUAUUGUGCUAAUCUUUUGUUUUGGAGGCAGAUUUGUAUACUUGGAGCACUGAUUUUCUUGGUGCUUGCUUACGUAUAUAGUUUGUAUAGUUUUAAUGUGAAAUGGAACAAUACCAGUGGAACAACAAUGUUGUACUA